GUGGGGAAUCUUAGACAAUGGGCGCAAGCCUGAUCCAGCAAUGCCGCGUGCAGGAAGAAGGCCUUCGGGUUGUAAACUGCUUUUGUACGGAACGAAACGGUCCCGGCUAAUACCCGGGGCUAAUGACGGUACCGUAAGAAUAAGCACCGGCUAACUACGUGCCAGCAGCCGCGGUAAUACGUAGGGUGCGAGCGUUAAUCGGAAUUACUGGGCGUAAAGCGUGCGCAGGCGGUGCUGUAAGACAGGCGUGAAAUCCCCGGGCUCAACCUGGGAAUUGCGCUUGUGACUGCAGUGCUGGAGUGCGGCAGAGGGGGAUGGAAUUCCGCGUGUAGCAGUGAAAUGCGUAGAUAUGCGGAGGAACACCGAUGGCGAAGGCAAUCCCCUGGGCCUGCACUGACGCUCAUGCACGAAAGCGUGGGGAGCAAACAGGAUUAGAUACCCCAGUAGUCC
This 450-nucleotide ribosomal RNA is filed under the name uncultured bacterium. RNAcentral's name for it is "partial 16S ribosomal RNA". It matches the Rfam family "Bacterial small subunit ribosomal RNA", at positions 354 to 796 of the family's 1533-position model. The record is from RNAcentral.